CCACAUUAAAGGUUCGCAUUAAUUCAAACAAGAACACACAAAACAUAAUUAAUGUAUGAAAUGUUAGAACAAAAUAAUAAUGAUUGUCUACAAAAAAAAAUAAAUUUUGAAGAAAAAGGGAAUGAGGAACUAGAUUGCUAGACAAAGAUACGUAAUGCAUCUGUUAUGUCGCUUCUCUGAUUUGGACAGAGAUAGGGUCAAGCCAUGAGGCCCCAAACGCACUCCCAAGUGUACAUGACAUAAAGAAAAAGAUGAUGAGAAGGAUUAGAAACUCGAACUUAAAUAGUAUAAGUAUUAAGGAGAUAUACAAUCUGAGACUAUAGAAUGAUUCAAAGUUCCAGUUUGAUGAGCAAACGGAAGAAGUAAAUUCAAAUUUGAACCUAGUAAACUAGAUGAGCUAACUGCUGUGAUAUGGCAGACAAGAAACAGAGUGCAACACUAAAUCAGAUUACAGCUUAAAAAUAAGAAGAAUAAAACCUAACUAUCUCAAACAAACACCUAAAAAAUGGCACUGACAUCUUAAACAAAUCAGAAGAAAAUGUCCCCUCAAGUCUAAUCCUUAAUGGAAAUUCAUGUUGAUUAUUUGCAACCAUUUAUCACGGUGAAGGGAGGGUGAACAGAUGAUGAAAAUACUUGAUCAGACUAUUCAGGUUUUAAAAAAAAUGAACAAAGCAUAGAGCUUACAAGCUAAAACUGAACGCUUGGCGUAAAUAUGAGAGCUCAUUUCAAUUUUAAAACACAUCAUGGAUGCUAAAGAGAUAUAUGGCAUAUCGUAAUAAAAUAAGCAAACAAACACUUAGAAGGACGCAAGAGACAGACUUAGUGUUUCAACUCGAAGGUAUUUUUAAGAUUCAUUCUAGGCCAAGAGAAAACGAAUUAAAAAAUUCGACUAGCUCGGCCACAAUCUUACACAAAUAGCUAUAAAUUUAAAUGAACUUUGCACAAAUUACUUCAAAGUUAUUCUUGUGAUUCAACAAAUCUGGGAAUUUAAAUGACCAAACUUACCCAUAAAUCUGGAAAAAUUAUAGAGCUAACUACAAGCCAAACUAAAAUACUACUUCCUUUGUUGUAUUCUCAAAAUUUCCACUUGAGGACAUUUGAUCUUUCAUGGAUUGAUGGAGUCCACAAAUAAUAGAUUAAGACCUAGUUAAAAACGAUGACACUUUCUUUACAAGAACCUUUUUGCUUGAAAGGAAAACAUGGCAGUUAAUUAUACACAAACACGGUCAUUUGGUUAAAAAUAUAAAAGGGAGAAUAUUCCAUGUUCUUUGCAAAAGUGUUUAAAGCUAACAUAUGCAUAGUUUAAAAUGGAGAUGUACUUCACCCGAUUUGAUGGUUAAAAUUAGUGCGUGUAAGAGAGAGUUCGCAGGGAUCCAUUCGAAGAGUCUUUAGAAAAGGAACGUGUUAAGAUUGUGUCAAAAUGAUAAAUACAAGUUGAUCAAACAUAAUACUCACGGGAAGUUGACGUAUCUUAUGCCAAUCUUUGAUGACAAGAAUAAGCUAAACAAACAUCUUUUGUAAGGGAAUAAAAAGAAAUAAAGACAGGGGUUAACUGUUGGGUUCAUAGUAUAUGAAAAAAGUGUGAAUGAAAAAAUAGAGAAUAAAAUGGUGGAGGGGAAGGAGACACUAAAAUGGAAAGUGUAUUCCCAAAUUAGAAAGUUUAUUCUUUCUCCCACAUUGAUGGAAGAAGAGAACUUGAAAGUAUUUAUAAUCAAGAACACUUACUCCACAUGGCAAGUGAGGCAAGAAAUAAUAGAUGUCUCGCUCCGUCGUCAUCGCUUGGCUUGAAUUUGGAUUUGUCUUUUUAGACAAACUUUAUUUGAAUUACGAAGAAUGCCAAGGAAAAACGCAGUAAAAUUUUUCUGCAGCGUUUCGGACCUCUAUUUAUAUAUACAUGCAGUAACAGUUGCAGCAUUGUUUUCGAAGUGCUUCAGAAAUGAUACAUUGUUCUGAACUGAGGCUACAGAAGGUUGCAAUGGUUCGAAAUGAUGCUUCAGAAGAUGGAAUCGUUCAAUGAAGUGACACACUGAUUCAUGAAAUGAGAUGACUGUUCAGGAAGAGAUGCAAUCUUUGAUGAACAGACAUAAACUUACAGCAAAAGUGUAACCUUUGGAGUGAACCAUUGCCUCUUUUAAGAAGAGGCAUGUUAUGGCUAUAUAGACCUGCUUUCAUCCACAAGUUUUGAUACGAAAUUUCAGAAUAAAAAAUACUCCUCUUGUCUUCAAAAAUUCUAUGUGAUCAUUCAAACUGUUGAGUGUGUUUGACGAGUCCAAAUAUUUGAGGUACCGCUAUAUUUGGAUUGAAGGCCAUUUUAUCCUGAGAGGAAAAAUUCCAUAACCUUGGGUACAGUGAGGGGAAUUGUUUCCUUAAGGAAACUUCGUGAAUUCGGACGACUUGGCCUUAUUCAUUUUUGUUUCAUCUAUUUUUUGGUAAAAAUAAAAUACAUCUCUUGGAAAGGUCAUUUUGAUCUGUGUUGAGGGUAUUUGAUAUACUUUAUUGUGUUCUUGUUUAUACCUGAACUCUAGUUGAAGUUGUUGUUCUGCAUAUACAGAUUCUGCGUACCCGUGGAAGGAAAUAACAUUAACGCCAUUAGUUUUAAAUAAUGAGUUAGACACUCGUAAUCACCUAUAUCACAUAUUUAAAGGGGAGAACAACCCCACAUACAACGACUAAUUCAAAACAACAAAAAAACACAUUCAGGUAUCCUUAAUUCGGCAAAUGGGCUAAAAAUACUUGACGUGUAUCACAAGACAAAUUUUAAUAACAAAUAUUCAUGGAUUCACGUAGACAUGACAAAGAAAUAGAAAAUGAAGGAAGCAAGAGUUAAUAUUACGGAUAUGCAUACAGGAAGCCAAACUAUUACAAAAAUAAUCAUAAGUCACCUGACAUCAAAAAAGACUUUGAAGGACAAACUAUAUAAGGUUUGAGAUUAACCUGGAAAGCAAUCGUAUAAAUAUAAAAAAUAAGUGAAGAUUUGCGGAAGAUGACCAGCAAUAUCAAAAUAAAAUAAGCACACGUCUUCACGUAAACAUAUUCAAACAUAAAAAGAAGAAGAAAUAAGAGUAAUUUUUACAUCCAACGGCCCCAAAUCCGAAUAAGGAGGAAACCAAUUUCAAGUUCGAUUAUUUAGGAGAUAAAAUAUCAUAGAGAGGAUAAUGAUAUAUGUGAAAAGAUAUAUAACUAAAAUUAAGAACAACGAGCAGUAGUCCCAAAAUAAGAUGAAUACAUACACAUAUAUUUACAGACCAUCCAUAUCGCACGCGAAAUAACUUUUCAUAAUAAAAAAUUACAUACACCCGCAAAUUCAAAGGAAGACAACAACGACAACAUGAGUUUCAAAAUGAAACCCACACAUCGACAGAACCAAAAUAGAAGGAGAAGAAACAAAUCAGAAUUUUAUUUCUUAUUCACAAAGUCGACGAAAACAACAACAAAGAAAAAAAGAAUGAAACAAAAUCGCAUAUUUCUCAGCAAAAUAGGAAGGAAAAGAAUGGAGAACUGAAGGUUCAUUCGCCCCAUCAUAAACAACGGACAACAAACCUCCAUAACCAAACUUCAAGCCAAAAUCACAUAUUCACCAACCAAAACCACUUCCCAAAACUAACGACGACGACAUAUACCCUUUUAUCCAGAAUCGACAAUAACAACAACACAAGUUUAACCAAAACUUAAGCAAAAUCGUAUAUUUUCAUAAUCAAGGUAAAGAAAAGAGGUGAAUUUGUACCUUUUCCAGGGCAGCGAACUAGGAAUCCGAGGCGAAGAGCAAUUCUACCACCAACGACGACUCCGAAUUUGAACAACGAAAGCAACGAGAGAGCGGCGGGAGUAAAUCCAAACCAAAAAAAUUGAGUGCGUAGUGAAUCGGAGAGUGAGAUAAAACUUUUAAAAAAUUCAAUUUCUCUAUUAUGUCCUCCCCUAAAGGGGUGAACAAGACCCCCUUUUUAAUAGACAAAAUUGGAUCACCACAGCUUCUUAGACACGCUUCCACCGGUUCCAACAAUUUGAAAAUUUUCAAUUCUUUGAAAAGGCAAAACCUUUUAGAAAUCAGUAAGAUUGAUUGCUGAAAAGAAAUAAAGUAGAAAAAGGGGUCACCACUUUCAGUCUAUUUGAAGGAAAGUGACGGAUUGGAGGCUAUCUAGCUUGAAUCCGUUGGUUUGAAGGGCUAAACAUUCUCAAAACAUGAAGGACCUUGAGCUUUUCCAUCUUUUCCAGAAAAUGCAGAGCCUAGGGCUUUGUUCUGCUUCAACAAGAAGUGAUGGGGAAGGUG
Molecule: long non-coding RNA, 4267 nt
Filed under: Capsicum annuum
Lineage: Eukaryota; Viridiplantae; Streptophyta; Magnoliopsida; Solanales; Solanaceae
Description: long non-coding RNA (CANN_LNC004352)
Source: RNAcentral